AGUUUUCUCUUAGGUUAAUUGCUACCUAAAGAUAAGCCUACAUUAUACAACUGUCAAGCUGACUGGAGGGUGAAGUUGACAGAUGGCCCUGCCUUACUUCUCCAAAUAAUGAAUGUUGUGUUAUUGACCUUCCUAUGACCGAUGAUUCUACCUUGGCUGCCUGCAAAACAGGAAACAAAUGUAAUGAAAUCUCUGAAAUGAGAAAUAAACGAUAAAGGAGAAGAAUGGUUGUGAGGCCCAGAAAAAAUAUCACCAUAUCAUAGGUUCUAGAGACAUAAGAGAGAAAGACAGGAAAAUAAUCCACUUUACAACUCUCUGCGUCACAAGAAGAAAAUGGUGAAGGGAGCUUUCCUAGAAUAAAAGAUUCAGAGAUUC
Mauremys reevesii (Reeves's turtle) is the source of this 375-nucleotide long non-coding RNA. RefSeq lists it as uncharacterized. The transcript is spliced from 3 exons. The record is from RefSeq and is a predicted model, not a curated record. NCBI's taxonomy places the organism in Eukaryota, Metazoa, Chordata, Testudines, Geoemydidae.